This 250-nucleotide ribosomal RNA is filed under the name Alexandrium margalefii. RNAcentral's name for it is "partial Bacterial large subunit ribosomal RNA". It matches the Rfam family "Bacterial large subunit ribosomal RNA", at positions 2627 to 2871 of the family's 2925-position model. The record is from RNAcentral. Lineage: Eukaryota; Dinophyceae; Gonyaulacales; Pyrocystaceae.
CAGUUCGGUCCCUAUCUGCCGUGGACGUUGGAGAUUUGAGGAAAGCUGCUCCUAGUACGAGAGGACCGGAGUGGACGAACCUCUGGUGUUCGGGUUGUGACGCCAGUCGCAUUGCCCGGUAGCUAUGUUCGGACAGGAUAACCGCUGAAAGCAUCUAAGCGGGAAGCCCCUUCCAAGAUGAGAUCUCCCUGGACCCUCGAGGUCCCUGAAGAGCCGUUCAAGACCAGGACGUUGAUAGGCAGGGUGUGGA